Molecule: ribosomal RNA, 46 nt
Filed under: Cladosporium cladosporioides
Lineage: Eukaryota; Fungi; Ascomycota; Dothideomycetes; Cladosporiales; Cladosporiaceae
Description: partial 28S ribosomal RNA
Source: RNAcentral
AAGCGUUGUGGAAACUAUUCGCUAAAGGGUGUUCGGGAGGCUACGC